RNAcentral lists this ribosomal RNA (460 nucleotides) under uncultured bacterium. RNAcentral's name for it is "partial 16S ribosomal RNA". It matches the Rfam family "Bacterial small subunit ribosomal RNA", at positions 338 to 795 of the family's 1533-position model. The record is from RNAcentral.
CCUACGGGAGGCAGCAGUGAGGAAUAUUGGUCAAUGGGCGCUAGCCUGAACCAGCCAAGUAGCGUGAAGGAAGACUGCCCUAUGGGUUGUAAACCUCUUUUAUCUGGGAACAAAGUGCAGUAUGUAUACCGUUUUGAAUGUACCCUAUGAAUAAGGAUCGGCUAACUCCGUGCCAGCAGCCGCGGUAAUACGGAGGAUCCGAGCGUUAUCCGGAUUUAUUGGGUUUAAAGGGUGCGUAGGCGGGUGGUUAAGUCAGUGGUGAAAGUUUGCGGCUCAACCGUAAAAUUGCAGUUGAUACUGGUAUCCUUGAGUGCGGGAGAGGUAGGCGGAAUGCGUGGUGUAGCGGUGAAAUGCAUAGAUAUCACGAAGAACUCCGAUUGCGAAGGCAGCCUGCUGGACUGUAACUGACGCUGAUGCUCGAAAGUGUGGGUAUCGAACAGGAUUAGAUACCCCAGUAGUC